AUGAGUGUCUUCAAGCUACCUCUUGGGGUUUGUGAUGACCUUAACCGCAUGAUUCGCAAUUAUUUUUGGGGUGCGGAGAAGGGGAAGAGGAAAACACAUUGGUAUGCAUGGGAUAAGAUAACAAGACCUAAAUGCCAAGGUGGUCUGGGUUUCAAAGACUUAAAAUUAUUUAAUCAAGCGUUAUUAGCUCGCCAAGCUUGGCGGCUCCUUGCUUAUCCAGAUAGUCUAUGUGCACGACUACUUAAGACAAAAUACUAGCCAAACGGGAGAUUGGAGGACACCAUCUUCACGGGACAUCCUUCGUCUGUGUUGCAAGGUGUGUGCCAUGGUCUUGAACUAUUGAAAAAAGGAAUUGUAUGGAGGAUAGAAAAUGGUGAAAAAGUAAGGAUUUGGAGAGAUAGAUGGGUCACUCGUGAACCCACUGGUGGACUUAUAUCACAAAAAGGAUGAUGUAGAUACAAAUGGGUUUAUGAGCUUAUGGACCAUAAUGGUUGUUGGGACAUCGCAAAACUACACCAGUUUUUCCUCCCAGUUGACACUUGUGAGAUCCAGAAAAUUCACUCGUCACAUCAUCUUGGUGAGGAUUUCAUUGCUUGGGCACCAGAGAAAACAGGUUUAUUCACUAUCAAUAGUGCUUAUAGCUAGGUCCGGAUGAAUUAUACGAUGGGCAGGUUUCUUCCACAAGUUCUCGGCCUGAUGGACACCUCGAGGGCUGGAAGGCUCUAUGGUCAUGUCAGGGACCUCUAA
RNAcentral lists this ribosomal RNA (747 nucleotides) under Triticum aestivum (bread wheat). Its description in RNAcentral is "partial small subunit ribosomal RNA". The record is from RNAcentral. Lineage: Eukaryota; Viridiplantae; Streptophyta; Magnoliopsida; Poales; Poaceae.